Molecule: unclassified non-coding RNA, 24 nt
Filed under: Mus musculus (house mouse)
Lineage: Eukaryota; Metazoa; Chordata; Mammalia; Rodentia; Muridae
Description: oocyte_clustered_small_RNA4036
Source: RNAcentral
UAGCGCCUGCGCAGUGAUAGUGUU